GAUGAACGCUGGCGGCGUGCCUAAUACAUGCAAGUCGAGCGAACGGACGAGAAGCUUGCUUCUCUGAUGUUAGCGGCGGACGGGUGAGUAACACGUGGAUAACCUACCUAUAAGACUGGGAUAACUUCGGGAAACCGGAGCUAAUACCGGAUAAUAUUUUGAACCGCAUGGUUCAAAAGUGAAAGACGGUCUUGCUGUCACUUAUAGAUGGAUCCGCGCUGCCUUAGCUAGUUGGUAAGGUAACGGCUUACCAAGGCAACGAUGCAUAGCCGACCUGAGAGGGUGAUCGGCCACACUGGAACUGAGACACGGUCCAGACUCCUACGGGAGGCAGCAGUAGGGAAUCUUCCGCAAUGGGCGAAAGCCUGACGGAGCAACGCCGCGUGAGUGAUGAAGGUCUUCGGAUCGUAAAACUCUGUUAUUAGGGAAGAACAUAUGUGUAAGUAACUGUGCACAUCUUGACGGUACCUAAUCAAAAAGCCACGGCUAACUACGUG
RNAcentral lists this ribosomal RNA (497 nucleotides) under uncultured bacterium. Its description in RNAcentral is "partial 16S ribosomal RNA". It matches the Rfam family "Bacterial small subunit ribosomal RNA", at positions 28 to 507 of the family's 1533-position model. The record is from RNAcentral.